This is a long non-coding RNA of Etheostoma spectabile (orangethroat darter), 77 nucleotides long. RefSeq lists it as uncharacterized. NCBI's taxonomy places the organism in Eukaryota, Metazoa, Chordata, Actinopteri, Perciformes, Percidae. The record is from RefSeq and is a predicted model, not a curated record. The transcript has 3 exons.
CUGGAGUGGUUCUCAGUUUCAGGUAACUUUAUUUGUACCCAUAGGUAAAUUUGUUGCGUAGUUAAAAAGUGCAGGGC